UCCUUUUGCAGAAAUGCACGCGCUGAGUGUGGAUCCCGACCUUGACUCCUGUCCUCCACGUCAUCAGCCAGCCAGAAGUCCAGCACAAAUCGGUGGACAAGCUCAAAGACAGCCAUUGGUGUCAUCAUCAUCAGACCCAGUAGUGUCAUCCCACGCAGGACAGCCAGCGUCAUCCACCGUCUCACCACCUUAUUCAACAUCUACAGCGGCCUGCAACAACCAGGUAACCUUGGAGACACUCCCAGCCCCUGGGAAACUCAUCUGUGCAACCACAUCACGAACAGCCUGGAGAAAGAUAUUACUGCUGAGGUUCAACGCACCUACGUUAGGUGUGGGGACCUCUGCCGUCUGGCAGAGCUGCGCACAUACUGCAGCAAAGAAAGGACAUUAAAGGCGAAAAAGUACAAAAGGAGCUACACAUGGCUUUCCUAAACAUGGUGCAAGCAAUUGCAGGAGCACAGAGGAGAGAGAGGGAUUUCAAUCGGGGCAGUGGUGGAGUUGAAGAAGACGGCCGCCUGAGACAGGAACCAGUGAUGUGCUAUCGCUGUGGCAAGUUUGGACACUACGCCCAUAACUGUCGCUUCAAACCAUCUAAACAAAACAACAAGCAGUGUUUUCGAUGUGGGAAAACGGGACACUGGCAGAGCGAAUGUCCUCAACCAAAGGGUUCCAGACGGGCUAAGCAGGCUGAUUGACUGGAGCGGGAGGAGAGUGACGGUGAAGCACCAACGGCGAGCACUGAGGAGGGAGGUAACACGCACAGACAUGCAUGCACACAGCAUUUAUGUGAUGAACACCCAGUUUUUAAGAAAUGACUUUUGUGAUUGCCGGAAAGACAGUUGUACUCCUGGUUGAUUCUAGAGCAAUGGCUUCGGUUCUGAGGUCAUCAGAACACACAGACACACACGCGCACACGCACACAUGCACACACACCACUUAGUGAACGUUCAAUCUGUCAAAUAGGAGUAACAUGGCCUUCAAAUAGUAAAGAAACUAACUGUCCCUUUGCCAUGUACGUCCCCUGAAGGCAAAAAGUUUAAAGGGCUCAUAUCAUGCAAAAUCCACUUUUUAGACAUUUUGGAGCGUUCCUACAACUCUAUGGGUCACAUAUACACACACUGAGCACGGUAGAAAUGCAUUUCCUGCUUUUUUCACAUUUUGAAAACGUAAAUUUUCUCAUCCAAUGGAGAGAGACAUCUACUACUCUGAGACCGUGUCCCAUGUGUCGUCACACUGGUAGGAACAUCUCCUUGCAAAUCCUGAACCACCACCCCCACAAUGAUCCCGAACCAAAACUGGACUUUUGCCAUUUCCCCCCUCUCACUCACCGUGAACAGACCAGCACGGCAGCGCCCAAGUCCUCCCAUAGAAAUAGUUCGGUUCUUAGGUGUUCUAACCAACACCAAAGUCUAUUCACUUUAACAAGGGAUCAACAAGUGAGGAUUUGUGGGUCACUUUUAUUUUUAACGGACCGGUGCCAGAAACACUGCCUCAGCAUUUAUACGUAUGUGCAUUUCAAACGAGGGUGCGUACAAUGCUGGAUUUGUUUCACGGCUCCUGUUGGAAAAAAAGGACCUAUUCCUAAAGUCCGUCAUCCACUCACUAAAGAGGGCAAAUCCCAGUUGCCCACAUGCAAGGAGGCUGUCAAACAGAGAAAUCACUGCAGACUGUUGGUACACGGACAUCUGCUGCCCAGCUCAGGAGUAAAGUACCUUUUUGUUUUGAUGAGGUGAUGGUGAGGACAGCCACAGCUUCCAUCUGGUAGAGGACUGCUUCCGCUCAGUCUUCCAAAUAGUGAUGAGAACAAGGAUCACCACAUCUCCCUGUUUACCCUACUUUCAUGCAUUUCGUCUGCAAGGCCCUGCAAAAGCUUCUGUCCUCAAACCCCCAGACUUCUUAAUUAACUCAGUAACCUAUACAUUGCACAUUGGAGUGUGAAGGUAACAGUUUGUUCUAGCUUUGGAGUAGUGGUGCAUUUUUUUGGUUUACAAUAAAGUUGGCUUUAACUAUUA
Molecule: long non-coding RNA, 2012 nt
Organism: Betta splendens (Siamese fighting fish)
Lineage: Eukaryota; Metazoa; Chordata; Actinopteri; Anabantiformes; Osphronemidae
Exons: 3
Source: RefSeq, a predicted model, not a curated record